Long non-coding RNA from Asterias rubens (European starfish), 275 nucleotides. RefSeq lists it as uncharacterized. The transcript has 3 exons. The record is from RefSeq and is a predicted model, not a curated record. NCBI's taxonomy places the organism in Eukaryota, Metazoa, Echinodermata, Asteroidea, Forcipulatida, Asteriidae.
CAAUUUCCCCUUAGAAUUGCUGCUUCAUCGUGAAUUCAAACAAGUCCGAAACGAAGUCUCACUCUCCACAUAUGGCUAUCAGAAAAACUCCCCUUCUUGAAAGAUUAUGGAGCAGUUGAUGAGAGGAUAGACCCAAUUGACAAAAGCUGAAGUUGACUGGCAUCCCAAUCCUGGAAUUGAAUUUGUAAUUGUUAGGGAUGACAACAUUUAAGACUCCAAAAGCCAGAUCGAACAGCCUGCCCUGCACAACGGUUUUGUCCCUGCAUGCUGCCACA